This 806-nucleotide long non-coding RNA is filed under the name Olea europaea subsp. europaea. The record is from RNAcentral. Lineage: Eukaryota; Viridiplantae; Streptophyta; Magnoliopsida; Lamiales; Oleaceae.
AUUUGAAACUUGUUUUCUUGUUUUUGAAAUGUAGCAUAAUUAAUCUCUCACUUAUAAAAUUUUCCCCAAAAAAAAAAUCUAGCUGGGCGAGCUCGCUAAGGCUCGAGUCGAGCCUUGUUUUCUUGGUCGAGCUUUUGCUCGACUCGAGCUCGAAAAAGGGCUCGGCUCAUUUCGUUGACAUCCCUAUGUAGUGUGAAGAUUGGCAUGAGACCGUAAAAGUGACUUCUUAAUAGGAGCUAUAAUUGGAAAUACGUUUAAUAGAAAUGGACCAGUACUAAAUUGAAAUUAUUAGUAGAACUUGACAUAAUAUCUGUUGUCUCUUGAUUGAUCCAUUCUCUUCCUUUGUGCACAGUGCACUAUUCAAUGGUUUAUGAACCAUUUCUUUAACCAGGAAAAUAAAAAACAAAAUUAAAUUAGAAUGUAAGUUUACUUAUGAAAGCAUGAACUUACAUUGAAGAGUUAUUCGUUUAUUAAAGUUUUGUAUUUGCACAUAUAAUUUUCUUAUUUAAAAUAAAUUAAUGCAUAAGUUGGGAGAUGGGAAAAAAAAAACCAACAAGACAGAAUCCAACUGCUUUCUCAAUAUUAAAUUCUUAUGCCUCAGAUGUAUUGAAUGAUUUAUUUAUGGAAUUUCGUGUAUGGUGAAAUUGCAAGGCUAAAUGAUUUUUCUUUCUUAUUUUUCUAAUUUGGAGUCAAGAUAGAAGAAGAGGAAAUUCUACAUUUAUAUUUGCAGAACUUACACAAUAGUGAUUAGGAGAAUUGAUCUUUAUGAAAUAAAUAUCUGUAAAAUCUUUGUUUAUAUAUAUAUA